UACAGAGGUCUCGAGCGUUGUUCGGAUUCAUUGGGCGUAAAGCGUCCGCAGGUGGCAGUUCAAGUCUGCUGUCAAAGACCGGGGCUUAACUUCGGAAAGGCAGUGGAAACUGAACAGCUAGAGUAUGGUAGGGGCAGAGGGAAUUCCUGGUGUAGCGGUGAAAUGCGUAGAGAUCAGGAAGAACAUCGGUGGCGAAGGCGCUCUGCUGGACCAUAACUGACACUCAGGGACGAAAGCUAGGGGAGCGAAUGGG
This 253-nucleotide ribosomal RNA is filed under the name uncultured bacterium. RNAcentral's name for it is "partial 16S ribosomal RNA". It matches the Rfam family "Bacterial small subunit ribosomal RNA", at positions 524 to 776 of the family's 1533-position model. The record is from RNAcentral.